RNAcentral lists this ribosomal RNA (509 nucleotides) under Bacillus sp. (in: firmicutes). Its description in RNAcentral is "bacterial SSU rRNA". It matches the Rfam family "Bacterial small subunit ribosomal RNA", at positions 847 to 1357 of the family's 1533-position model. The record is from RNAcentral. Lineage: Bacteria; Bacillati; Bacillota; Bacilli; Caryophanales; Bacillaceae.
UGCAGCUAACGCAUUAAGCACUCCGCCUGGGGAGUACGGUCGCAAGACUGAAACUCAAAGGAAUUGACGGGGGCCCGCACAAGCGGUGGAGCAUGUGGUUUAAUUCGAAGCAACGCGAAGAACCUUACCAGGUCUUGACAUCCUCUGACAAUCCUAGAGAUAGGACGUCCCCUUCGGGGGCAGAGUGACAGGUGGUGCAUGGUUGUCGUCAGCUCGUGUCGUGAGAUGUUGGGUUAAGUCCCGCAACGAGCGCAACCCUUGAUCUUAGUUGCCAGCAUUCAGUUGGGCACUCUAAGGUGACUGCCGGUGACAAACCGGAGGAAGGUGGGGAUGACGUCAAAUCAUCAUGCCCCUUAUGACCUGGGCUACACACGUGCUACAAUGGACAGAACAAAGGGCAGCGAAACCGCGAGGUUAAGCCAAUCCCACAAAUCUGUUCUCAGUUCGGAUCGCAGUCUGCAACUCGACUGCGUGAAGCUGGAAUCGCUAGUAAUCGCGGAUCAGCAUGC